Molecule: non-coding RNA, 27 nt
Filed under: Mus musculus (house mouse)
Lineage: Eukaryota; Metazoa; Chordata; Mammalia; Rodentia; Muridae
Source: RNAcentral
UGAAUCUGCCAAUCCAUGAGCAUGGGA